Molecule: long non-coding RNA, 1496 nt
Filed under: Gossypium barbadense (sea-island cotton)
Lineage: Eukaryota; Viridiplantae; Streptophyta; Magnoliopsida; Malvales; Malvaceae
Description: long non-coding RNA (GBAR_LNC013765)
Source: RNAcentral
CGAUGGGGAGUACUUCUAUUAAGGCCGGUGAUAUUCUAGCUGUUCCUUUAUCAGGUACUUUUCCAUUGCCUUGUUUUGGUGAAUUCUGCAAUGCUCUAAUCAUUUUAACCUAGUGCCUUCUUCCUCUAUGUUUUUGUCUUGCGUACUGAAAGUAGAACGUCGGUAAUGAUAAUAUAUGGAAAAGAAGAUAGAAAUAAAAAUAAAUAAUAUAAAGAAUUUUUUUAAUUGGAAAUCCUUUCGGAAAAGAAUACGGGUGAAAAAAAUUUACUUUAUCAAAUUUGAAUGACUACAAGAGGAGUUUCGACUACUCUUAUUUAUAGGUUGAAAAAAAUUUAAUUCUAAUCAAAAUCAAAUUAUGUUAUGUUAAGAAAUACUAAAUAUAUUAUACUCAUAAAUACUAAAUUUUUUUAGAAAGAAGAUAUAUUUUGUUUGACUUGACUUGCAAGUAAUCUCUUAGAAUUUGGGUCAAACAACUCUAAUAUAUAGUUUUCGCAUUGAUGAGUACAAGUUGGUGGAAUUGAGUAGUAUAUUUUUAUGCUUUUGCUUUGUUUAUGCCUGUUUCCUAUGGCAAUGGAAGUUAAGUGUUGUUUGUUUGGGUUCUUGCAGCUUGUGCUUCAAAUUUUCCUAGAUAUGCCUCAGAUUAUGGAAUGAUUGUUCCUAAUGGGAGCUAUGCUAUUACUGCCAGCCACUGUGUCCAGUGCAGUUGUGGGCCCGGGAGUCGCAAGUAAUCGAGCUUUUUCUUAGCUUAUUAGUUGUAUGAUUGACUUUACUGCUUGUGAUUAUUCUUUUUCCCUAAAUCUAACAGUACUGAUUGUAUCGUACAGUCUGUACUGUAUGCCGUCUUCAUUGGCUGUUUCUUGUUCAAGUAUGCAAUGUAAAAGCAGCAAUCUUAAGCUGGGGAAUGUUACAGUGCAACAAAGUAGUGCUGGAUGCAAUGUUACUUCUUGUGCUUAUGGUGGUUAUGCUAAUGGAACCAUUAUCACUUGGUAUACUACAGCUUUUACUUGCUUUUAUUGACGGUUCGAGCAAUCAUCUGUGUUAAACCUUGUCUGUGUUCUGCAGGUUGUCAUCAUCUCUUCAACCCCGAUGUCCAGGUAUGAGUUUGUAAAACCUUCUGAUUCCAAAACGCUCCAAGACAAGAAAUUGUUUAGUUUUAGGAUGACUCUCAGAUUUGAACUUCCCCCCAAUCUAAUGCAAUGUGAAGUUCUUAUCUGGUGCUGAUUAUCAGAUUUUUUUUGUCUAGCAUCUACAAAUACAAAUAAUGAUUUAUUUAUUCAUCAGUUUGUUACCUUCAUUGCUGGUGCUUUUUUAAAAGAAAUGAAAGUUUCAGCUUCUAUGACAACACUUACGGCUUCAAAUCUUGAGGAGCUGAACAUGAGCAGUUUCAUGUUUUGAUUUCACAAAUAUUUCCAGAUGGUCAUAGAAUGCUUCUUGACUGAUUUUAAAUUCCCAUUAAAUAAUGCAGGACCGCAGCAAUUUCCUCCCCUUCUAGCCCC